UGGGGAAUAUUGCACAAUGGGCGCAAGCCUGAUGCAGCCAUGCCGCGUGUGUGAAGAAGGCCUUCGGGUUGUAAAGCACUUUCAGCGGGGAGGAAGGCGGUGAGGUUAAUAACCUCAUCGAUUGACGUUACCCGCAGAAGAAGCACCGGCUAACUCCGUGCCAGCAGCCGCGGUAAUACGGAGGGUGCAAGCGUUAAUCGGAAUUACUGGGCGUAAAGCGCACGCAGGCGGUCUGUCAAGUCGGAUGUGAAAUCCCCGGGCUCAACCUGGGAACUGCAUUCGAAACUGGCAGGCUAGAGUCUUGAAGAGGAGGGUAGAAUUCCAGGUGUAGCGGUGAAAUGCGUAGAGAUCUGGAGGAAUACCGGUGGCGAAGGCGGCCCCCUGGACAAAGACUGACGCUCAGGUGCGAAAGCGUGGGGAGCAAACAGG
RNAcentral lists this ribosomal RNA (429 nucleotides) under Chloroflexota bacterium. Its description in RNAcentral is "Chloroflexi bacterium partial 16S ribosomal RNA". It matches the Rfam family "Bacterial small subunit ribosomal RNA", at positions 355 to 776 of the family's 1533-position model. The record is from RNAcentral. Lineage: Bacteria; Bacillati; Chloroflexota.